RNAcentral lists this ribosomal RNA (350 nucleotides) under uncultured Gammaproteobacteria bacterium. RNAcentral describes it as "bacterial SSU rRNA". It matches the Rfam family "Bacterial small subunit ribosomal RNA", at positions 1034 to 1384 of the family's 1533-position model. The record is from RNAcentral. Lineage: Bacteria; Pseudomonadati; Pseudomonadota; Gammaproteobacteria.
ACAGGUGCUGCAUGGCUGUCGUCAGCUCGUGUUGUGAAAUGUUGGGUUAAGUCCCGCAACGAGCGCAACCCUUAUCCUUUGUUGCCAGCGGUUCGGCCGGGAACUCAAAGGAGACUGCCAGUGAUAAACUGGAGGAAGGUGGGGAUGACGUCAAGUCAUCAUGGCCCUUACGACCAGGGCUACACACGUGCUACAAUGGCGCAUACAAAGAGAAGCGACCUCGCGAGAGCAAGCGGACCUCAUAAAGUGCGUCGUAGUCCGGAUUGGAGUCUGCAACUCGACUCCAUGAAGUCGGAAUCGCUAGUAAUCGUGAAUCAGAAUGCCACGGUGAAUACGUUCCCGGGUCUUGU